This is a long non-coding RNA of Parus major (Great Tit), 1839 nucleotides long. RefSeq lists it as uncharacterized. The record is from RefSeq and is a predicted model, not a curated record. Lineage: Eukaryota; Metazoa; Chordata; Aves; Passeriformes; Paridae. The transcript has 3 exons.
GCCAUUGUUCUAUUGAUGGCUGUUAUGUCUGAAUAGAUUUUUCCUUUGGCCUCAGAGGAAAGGAAGAGUCCAAAUUGCCUUUGCAUCUAACAGCUCCUAAGGAGGUAAUGAAAAAGGAAACUACAUAAAUAAGGAAAUGAGCUGCAGCUUUUCUCUAUUAGGCACACGAGUUCGACUAAUUCACUCUUGGCAGGGAAUAUAAGACUAUUGCACCUGAGAUAAAGGGUCUGGGCUCUUUGUCUAAAACCUGAAGUAUCUCCAGACAAGCUCAGCUCCCUAACAGUGCUGAAGUACUUACUGCAGUGGAAAAAAAACAAGAGAAGAUACAAAGAACAUGCAGGGCAUUUAAAAGAGAUACCUUCCUAAAGUGAGGAAACCUUCCACGUAGGCAGAGAUCCCAGGAGAGUGGAAGAUCCCGGGCUGCUGGUGCUGGGGGGCAGUUUGCUGCUGACCCCCUUUGCUGCCGCACUGCCAUCUAAGCACAGCCAGGUUCCUCCAGGCUGAUACCAAGCAAGGGCCUGUGCCAGCCCUGUCUAGCAAUGGAGACAACUUUGCUACUCACCAGGGUUUUAAAGGACAUUCAGAAUUCCUCCAGUGGUGUUUCUUGAACCAUUUCAUUCUUCAUUAGAGCAAUAUUUUAUCCUAUCAGAACUGAUCAAAAUUCCCAUGCAUUGUAAUCUAGGAAUUCACUCACUGUUGAAAGGGUUUGCACAGGGAGAAAAUCAGCUUUGAUGUCAAUCACUUUUUAAACUAACCUCUCUUUCUGCAUCAAGCAUUGGUGUUUAGCUGCUGCUGUUCUGUCCUGAUGAUCUCCUUGGCAAGUUCUGUCUGUGUGUGUUUAGCUGCAACUUAUGAAUCAUGUCAAGUACAAGAGAGUCAUAGAGACAUCCAUGGAGAAUAGAUGAUAAUAAAGUAUGAGAAACUAGUGAAAGCAAUCAAUAGCUGUCAUCCCAAUAAUGAUGCCCUUCUACAGUCUCAGAUAACACAGGCAUUUGCCCAGUAUGACACUGUGGAUGCAAAAAGCUUGGAGACUUUCCAGUACAUAUAUUCUUUUAGCAGCCCACCGUUGGCCGUGCAAUAAGGUAAUUUUAUAAUUUACUCAAUCCCAUCUUGCACAACAGACAUAGAGAGGUACACAUGGAGCUACAUUUGGCAAAAAUCAAUCAGAAAACUAAUAUUUUGCUGAAAGGAUAAUCCCUGUAUUUAUCUUCCGUUCUUUUAUUUGUCAAUUUGCUGGCAUACAACUCCUGCCAGUAAAAACUACACUUUAGGUUAACAAUAAAAAGUGGUGCUCAAUCAAAGUCUUUCUUUUCAGAACCACCUCCUGAACACCUUUAAUUAAAAUAAAAAUAAUUAAUUUCUCUUUGCCAUUGACAGUAUUAACACUUUGAAUAGAAGUACUGUAUGCUUCCAUAAAGAAAUCAUCUUUUGACUGAUCUCCAAUUCCUUGAACACAGACUUUUAAAACCAGUAUCUUGAUGCUACCCUCAGAAAUGCUGAAUUCAGUAUCUAGGUAUGACAUAACCCUGUGCAAUGAAAUAAGGAGUCAUUUUUUUUUAAUGGACACAGUGUUUCUGAGAAAGGAAGGUAAUUUCCAAAUGUGUUUGUGGCACCUACAAGAUCAAAAUAUUUUCAAGAAUAACUGGGGUCCUUCUCAUAUUUCUGAAAUUCUGAAAUUGGCUCACCUAUUUGUGUGGUGAGGUUUUUUUAGUUGUUUUGGAUUACUUUCUCCUUUGAAAUCUAUAUAUAAACAAACAUGUUAAGUGUGAAUUUGUCCCUGUGGAAACAGAAUAAAGUGCUAUUGGUGACAGGGCAGACAGAAUUUUUUAUUUUUUUUUC